AGUACAAAGCUUUCAUGUUUACUUCUGCAGCUCUUGCUCAGGAGAAUCAAUUUACCUGAUGGGCACCUCUUGUGUGAUGCCACAGCUCCGUGCCUUUGUAGAGAUCCAGUUCAUCUUUGUGAAAGCAGAGUGAGGCUGCCAGUGUGCAGUUGUUUAAAAUAAGCUCCACGCUUCGCCGAUGUGGUGGAUAAAACUUGGGUUGCUUGAAAAGUGGGGCAAUAUUUCACAAUCGUGCAAAAGGAGAUACAGAAGAAGAGAGCAGAAUGAGAGCUUUGCAAGUGCCACAUGCCUGCAGCCUGAUGUCUUUAGUGAUGCUGUUCCUUCCAGUCACUGGAACAUCAAAACAAAAUAUCCCAAGACUGAAGCUUUCCUAUAAAGGUAAACUUUUCAGUAUUUUGUCUGAUUCUGUCACUUUUGUUUUGAUGUGAUGUUGCCAGCAGUUCAUUUGUAUUACUUACCAGGAAAGCAAAACACUGUCCCAGAAAUGCAUAAUAGAAACCUUAAGGAUGGAUGAAUUCUGCCUAGGGACAGUAUUAAAUUGUGGGGGUUUUUUGUUGUGUUGGGUUUUUCUAAUUAUUAUUUUAUUUUGUUUAUUUUUUUGUGUUUUAUUUUAUUUUUGUAAUUCUUUUUCUAUCACUAUGUUGGAAUGUUAGAUUCUUCAUAUGUGGUUUUCUUUCUCCUUGCCUCUUUGGAUCACAGGAGUGUGUUUCUUUGUGG
Molecule: long non-coding RNA, 717 nt
Filed under: Cyanistes caeruleus (blue tit)
Lineage: Eukaryota; Metazoa; Chordata; Aves; Passeriformes; Paridae
Description: lncRNA (ENSCCEG00000020297.1)
Source: RNAcentral